This 510-nucleotide ribosomal RNA is filed under the name uncultured bacterium. Its description in RNAcentral is "partial 16S ribosomal RNA". It matches the Rfam family "Bacterial small subunit ribosomal RNA", at positions 28 to 507 of the family's 1533-position model. The record is from RNAcentral.
GACGAACGCUGGCGGCGUGCUUAACACAUGCAAGUCGAACGAAGAGCGAUGGAAGCUUGCUUCUAUCAAUCUUAGUGGCGAACGGGUGAGUAACGCGUAAUCAACCUGCCCUUCAGAGGGGGACAACAGUUGGAAACGACAGCUAAUACCGCAUACGAUCUAAUCGCGGCAUCGAGGAGAGAUGAAAGGUGGCCGCUACAUGUAAGCUAUCACUGAAGGAGGGGAUUGCGUCUGAUUAGCUAGUUGGAGGGGUAACGGCCCACCAAGGCGAUGAUCAGUAGGCGGUCUGAGAGGAUGAACGGCCCCCAUGGGACUGGGACACGGCCCAGACUCCUACGGGAGGCAGCAGUGGGGGAUCUUCCGCAAUGGACGGAAGUCUGACGGAGCAACGCCGCGUGAGUGAUGACGGCCUUCGGGUUGUAAAGCUCUGUUAAUCGGGACGAAAGGCCUUCUUGCGAAUAGUGAGAAGGAUUGACGGUACCGGAAUAGAAAGCCACGGCUAACUACGUG